RNAcentral lists this ribosomal RNA (460 nucleotides) under uncultured bacterium. RNAcentral's name for it is "partial 16S ribosomal RNA". It matches the Rfam family "Bacterial small subunit ribosomal RNA", at positions 338 to 795 of the family's 1533-position model. The record is from RNAcentral.
CCUACGGGCGGCAGCAGUGAGGAAUAUUGGUCAAUGGACGUAAGUCUGAACCAGCCAUGCCGCGUGCAGGAAGAAGGAUCUAUGAGUUGUAAACUGCUUUUGUAGGAGGAUAAACGUAGACACGGGUAUAUGUUUGAAUGUACCGUAUGAAUAAGGAUCGGCUAACUCCGUGCCAGCAGCCGCGGUAAUACGGAGGAUGCAAGCGUUAUCCGGAUUUAUUGGGUUUAAAGGGUGCGUAGGCUGUUUUUUAAGUCAGCGGUGAAAGGUUGGGGCUUAACCAGAAAAUUGCCGUUGAUACUGGAAGACUUGAGUGUGUAUGAGGUAGGCGGAAUGCGUGGUGUAGCGGUGAAAUGCAUAGAUAUCACGCAGAACACCGAUUGCGAAGGCAGCUUACUAAGCCAUAACUGACACUGAAGCACGAAAGCGUGGGGAUCAAACAGGAUUAGAUACCCGGGUAGUC